AAUGGACCAAAGCCACCCCAAAGCUUCUCCCUUGGAAAUUCCACCUUGGUCUGUUUCACUCGCGUCCUCCUGCGGGUGUCGAGCCAGAGGCCCCGGGCCCAGCCUCCCCCGCCCACCCCGGCCCCUCAGCGCCCGAUCUCGAGCCUCCGUGCGCCGGUCCGCCGGGUCCGGGAGCCCAACCUGCGCGGAUCUCCAAGCCCGGAGCCGCGGUGCGUGUGGGCUGCGCGCCCCGAUCGGCUAAGGGCGCUGGAGCUGCGUGGGUGUAUUUAAAUGGGACAUGCUUCUUUGCUUGUGCGUGGAUGGCGGCUGCAUUGGCUGUUAUAAUGAGACACAUCAACUCCUCCACUCAGCUGGGGGGUGGGGGUGGAGAACCACACAGAACUGUCUAUCACCGCUUCCUGGGAGGAGUAAAGGGGGGAGGCGGAGGAGGCGUGGUCUCCGACUGGGGAGAGGCCGCGCUUCCUGACCCGGUCCCUCGACACCAGCGUGGAUGGGGGAGGGGCGCGCACCCUCCCGCCCAGGCUCCUGCGGGCUAAUCGGGGCGGAUCGGCGGGGCAGUCCCUGACCCUUGCCGGGCUUAUCGCGGGGGCUCAAGCUCUAUUUUUGUGUGUCCAACUCGGGCAUUGCAGCAAAAUGGCUCUUUCCUCGCCUCUUGGGUUUUCUCGGUGGGAUUCAAAUGCUCUAGAGCUGGGGGGGGGGGGGGGGCAGAAAGGGAAAAAAAAAAAGACAGCGACGCCCUCCCUCCCCCAUUAAUUAUUUGUGGGGCUCGAGUAAGGCGGGCUGGUGCAACCGGUGCAUAUAAGGACUUGUGUGCAGGGAAGGGGAUCCGCCUCCAGGCGUGGAACGAGCCCGGGAGAAGCGCGCACGCACGGCGCGUCCGGCCUGGCGCUUCUGUAAUCUGCAGCGGCCCGGGGGUCGGGUCCACCCGCAGUAACCGAUAUGCCGGACUGCGCCGGUCCCAAGUUGCGGGUUCCUCUGCGGGAAAGCUAGGGAAUCAGAGCUCCCUUUCGGAUCGCCACACCCAGGACCAGCUCGUGCCGCAGUUCCCCACGAAUCGGAACGUAGAAGCUCGUUCUCCGGGCGCAAUAGCUUCCAAGCCAUCAGAUUUACUACCCUGCUUGGAACUGCAGAUCCUUGAAGCUGGGGAUGGAGUUGGUGCAUCCCCUGGGUGAGACACAAAAGUUUGCCAGUCACCCAGCAAGGUCUCUUCAUUUAACUGAAGGCAUUGCUUGUACCCUUGCAAACUGUCUCAGACCACUCUGGAACAAGUCGGAGCAGCUCUAUAUGGCUGUCAACCUUUUUAGAUGUCUUCACAACACUCCCACUUUGUGCUGUAGAAAUUCCUUGGGGCCCCAAGCAUGUAUCGUUUGCACUGUGUGAUCUUGCUGGCCUGAUCACCUUGACUGGAACUGAGCAACGUAUCUGACUCAAGCUGAGCCAUGGACUCUUUCCUCCAGGAAUCUGACAUUGGAGCAGACAAAUGCCAUGCUGUGCUAGGCAAGGCCCAGGCUGCGUGAAUAUCUGCAGCACUGAUUCUCAACCUUGGCUGCCCAUGGAGUUGCCUGAGACACUUUUAAAAGUCCAUCUCCUACUCAGCAGACUCAUAGAAUGGCGGAUGUCCUAAAUAGCACUCUGGCCUCAGAAUCAGCCCUAAAGGCACUCGGAUCUGGCUGAAAAGCCCAUGAGAGUAUUUCAGGCAUGGAAAGCCAAGACACUCUGGCAAAAAGAUCUCUGUGAGUGAGAUCCCAGUGGAAAGAACAGGUCUUCAAAGAGGGAGGUGCCUUUCUCUGAAGGGAGGAGAGAACCUCCACUUUGACUAUGACCUUAUCUAAACAAGGUAAGAGUCGGAGAACUCAAGGGGCUUCCAUAGCCUUGGAAACUCAUGACUGGUGCAUAGGGAGAUUACUGAUGCCAUAAACAGAAGUGUCAAUUUGUAAAGUCAACAACAGGAGUCACUGUGCACUUACUCCUCAUGUAGGAUAUCUGUCCUUAAUGUGCUGUACACUGAGGCUUAAUGCUAUAACGAGUACUCAAACAGUAUAUUUCACUUUGUGUUUCUAUGGGGGUGCAAACGAUUGAAAUCUUUACUUAAUGUACACUAAACUGAUCUUCUGUAAAAAAAAAAAAAAAGAAAAAAGAAAUUAUCAAUUCCCAACUUGACUCUCACUGGGAUUAAACAUGACAAUAGGUCUGAUCUGAUUUCAUCAUCAUUCAAAAAAAAUCAUCUAUUAUUUUUCACUUUAUGUUUCUGUGUGGGAGCAAACUGUUGAAAUCCUUACUUAAGGUAUACUAAGCUGAUCUUCUGUAUAUUAAGAUAAUCGAAAAUGAAUCUUGAUGUGAAUGGAAGGGGAGAAGGAGUGGGAAAGGGGAUGGUUGUGGGUGGGAGGGACGGUAUGGGGGGGGGAAGCCAUUGUAACCCAUGAGUCGUACUUUGGAAAUUUAUAUUCAUUAAAUAAAAGAUAAAAAAAAAUAAAAAAAAAGUCCA
Long non-coding RNA from Oryctolagus cuniculus (rabbit), 2485 nucleotides. The record is from Ensembl. NCBI's taxonomy places the organism in Eukaryota, Metazoa, Chordata, Mammalia, Lagomorpha, Leporidae.